AUGACGGCUCCCCAAGGACACAAGCCAUGCAUGCCCGCACACCCGGGAGGCGGCGGACGGCUCAGGAAAAACGGUUGCACCCCCCGCGGCGGUCCCUGCUAGCCGGACACCGCUGGCAACCCGGCGCCAAGACGUGCGCGCAAGUGCGGGCGCCCGCGGGCGAGCAGCGUGACGCAGA
RNAcentral lists this ribosomal RNA (178 nucleotides) under Giardia duodenalis. Its description in RNAcentral is "Giardia intestinalis partial small subunit ribosomal RNA". The record is from RNAcentral. Lineage: Eukaryota; Fornicata; Diplomonadida; Hexamitidae.